AAGCUGGGCGGCAGGCCUAACACAUGCAAGUCGAGCGGCAGCGGGAAAGUAGCUUGCUACUUCUUGCCGGCGAGCGGCGGACGGGUGAGUAAUGCCUGGGAAAUUGCCCAGUCGAGGGGGAUAACAGUUGGAAACGACUGCUAAUACCGCAUACGCCCUACGGGGGAAAGCAGGGGACCUUCGGGCCUUGCGCGAUUGGAUAUGCCCAGGUGGGAUUAGCUAGUUGGUGAGGUAAUGGCUCACCAAGGCGACGAUCCCUAGCUGGUCUGAGAGGAUGAUCAGCCACACUGGAACUGAGACACGGUCCAGACUCCUACGGGAGGCAGCAGUGGGGAAUAUUGCACAAUGGGGGAAACCCUGAUGCAGCCAUGCCGCGUGUGUGAAGAAGGCCUUCGGGUUGUAAAGCACUUUCAGCGAGGAGGAAAGGUCAGUAGCUAAUAUCUGCUGGCUGUGACGUUACUCGCAGAAGAAGCACCGGCUAACUCCGUGCCAGCAGGUA
Molecule: ribosomal RNA, 499 nt
Filed under: Aeromonas caviae
Lineage: Bacteria; Pseudomonadati; Pseudomonadota; Gammaproteobacteria; Aeromonadales; Aeromonadaceae
Description: bacterial SSU rRNA
Rfam family: Bacterial small subunit ribosomal RNA
Source: RNAcentral